GUGAGUCAUCGAGUCUUUGAACGCACAUUGCGCCUUUGGUAAUCCUAAAGGCAUGCCUGUCUGAGCGUCAUUACACCAUUCAUCCCCCUCUUUCUUUUUGUCACAGAAAAGGUGUUGGGGUUUGGACUUGGAGGUUUAAUGUCUGUACCGGUCAAACGGUGGGACACCUCUGUAAUGCCUCUUAUGCUGCUUGCAGUCUUUAGUCGAUUUAUAUCUAAAGCGUACUUUCAAAGUUCUGUUAGAGGGCUAGUCAUUCUUACUCUGUAGGUCCUACCUCACGGUAGUUCCUACUUCUCAAAGUUUGACCUCAGAUCAGGUAAGAAUACCCGCUGAACUUAAGCAUAUCAAUAAGCGGAGG
This 358-nucleotide ribosomal RNA is filed under the name uncultured fungus. Its description in RNAcentral is "eukaryotic LSU rRNA". The stretch from base 303 to 358 matches the Rfam family "Eukaryotic large subunit ribosomal RNA", at positions 1 to 56 of the family's 3401-position model. The record is from RNAcentral. Lineage: Eukaryota; Fungi.